AUGAUGGAGGUGGUGGCCGCCAUGGCGAUCCGGCCGCUGGUAUCCAUGUUGAUGAACAAGACGUCCAACUCCCUACUGGACCAGUACAAGGUGAUGGAGGGAAUGGAGGAGCAGCACAAGAUUCUCAAACGCAAGCUCCCGGCCAUCCUUGACGUCAUGACCGACGCCGAGAACCAGGCAAUGGAGCAUAGAGAUGGGGCUAAAGCCUGGCUCCAGGAGCUCAAGACAGUGGCCUAUGAGGCCAAUGAAGUCUUUGACGAAUUCAAGUAUGAAGCACUCCGCCGUGAAGCCAGGAAGAAAGGGCACUACAGCAAGCUUGGCUUCGAUGUAAUAAAACUCUUCCCUACUCACAAUCGUAUUGUGUUCCGUUACAAAAUGGGUCGCAAGCUUUGCCGGAUCCUGAAGGCCAUUGAUGUCCUCAUAGCAGAGAUGCAUGCCUUUAGGUUCAAGUAUCGACCACAACCGCCGGUGUCCAAGGAGUGGAGGCAGACAGAUUAUGUCAUCAUCGACCCACAAGAAAUUGCCAGUAGAUCCAGACACGAGGAUAAGAAGAAUAUUGUUGAUAUAUUACUUGGUGCAGCUAGCAAUGCAGAUCUUGCAGUAGUUCCCAUUGUUGGGAUGGGGGGGCUUGGCAAGACAACAUUAGCGCAACUCAUAUACAAUGAACCUAAUGUCCAAAAGCAUUUCCAGUUGCGGCUUUGGGUCUGUGUCUCUGAUGUCUUUGAUGUGAACUCCCUGGCCAAGAGUAUAGUUGAAGCAUCUCCCCGGAAAAAUGAAGACACGGACAAACCACCACUCGAAAGACUUCAAAAAUUGGUCCGUGGGCAGAGGUAUAUCAUUGUAUUGGAUGAUGUCUGGGACAACAAAGAGUUACGUAAGUGGGAAAGGCUGAAGGUUUGUCUCCAGCAUGGUGGCAUGGGUAGUGCAGUGUUGACAACAACUCGUGAUAAACGAGUUGCUGAAAUUAUGGGUGCAAACAGGGCAUCCUACAAUCUCAAUGUUUUGGAGGAUCGCUUCAUAAAGGAAAUUAUUGAGGCUAGAGCAUUCAGUUUAGAGAAAGAAAGGCCUGCUGAACUAGUCGAGAUGGUUGAUGAGAUUGUGGAGAGAUGCUCUGGAUCCCCUUUAGCUGCAACGGCACUGGGCUCUAUACUUCGUACCAAGACCACCGUGAAAGAAUGGAAGGCUAUAGCAUAUAGAAGCAGCAUUUGCACUGAGGAAACUGGAAUCAUGCCAAUACUAAAGCUUAGCUACAAUGACUUGCCAGCACACAUGAAGCAGUGCUUUGCUUUCUGUGCUGUGUUCCCCAAGGAUUACAAGAUCAAUGUGGAGAAGCUGAUCCAACUAUGGAUUGCCAAUGGCUUUAUCCUAGAACAGGAGGAAGGAAGUCUUGAAACCAUUGGAAAGCAUAUUUUCAAUGAGCUGGCCUCAAGGUCAUUCUUUCUGGACAUAGAGGAAUGUAAGGGCGACAGGGAGUAUUGUUCCAAAACUACAUGUAAAAUACAUGAUCUGAUGCAUGAUAUUGCAAUAUCUGUUAUGAGAAAGGAAUGUAUUGUUGCAAUUAAGGAACCAAGUCGAAUCGAGUUGCUUCAGGAUACUACUCGACAUUUAUUUUUGUCAUGUGAAGAAAUAGAAGGUAUUUUGAAUGAUUCUAUGGUGAAAAGAUCCCUUGCUAUCCGAACACUACUAUGUGAUAAUCCUGUUUGGAGCUCACUGCAACAUCUAUCAAAGUACAACUCUUUGCAUGCACUGAAGCUCUGUAUAAAGACAGAACCAUUUGUACUGAAACCAAAGUAUCUUCAUCACCUGAGGUACCUUGAUCUCUCAGAAAGUUAUAUCAAAGCACUUCCUGAAGAUAUGAGUAUUCUAUAUAACUUGCAGACAUUGGACCUAUCCAAAUGCAUUUAUCUUGAUCGACUUCCAAGGCAAAUGAAGUAUAUGACUUCCCUCCGUCACCUCUAUACUCAUGGAUGUCCGGAGUUGAAGAGCAUGCCCCCGGAACUAGGAAAACUCACAAACCUUCAGACAUUGACAUGUUUUGUAGCAGCAGUUAUUGGACCUGAUUGCAGUGAUGUAACAGAGCUGCAACAUUUAAACCUUGGCGGUCAGCUAGAGCUAUGUCGGAUAGAGAAUGUUACGGAAGCAGAGCCAAAAGUGGCAAAUCUUGGAAACAAGAAGGAGCUUAGUGAACUAACAUUAAGAUGGACUUUUGUUUGCGAUAGCAAGGUGCUCGACAAUUUCGAACCUCAUGAUGGGAUGCAGGUUCUGAAGAUAUAUUACUAUGGUGGAGAGUGCAUUGGUAUGAUGCAAAACAUGGUUGAGAUACAUCUUUCUCACUGUGAAAGAUUGCAAUUUUUGUUUAGACGUGCUGCAUCCUUCACUUUUCCAAAACUGAAGGUGCUUACGCUAGAACAUCUGUUGAAGUUUGAGAGAUGGUGGGAAAUAAAUGCGAGGCAAGAUCAGAUAGGAUUUCCUCUGCUUGAGAAGUUGUUUAUUAAGUAUUGUGGAAUGCUGACACAAUUGCCGAAAGCACCACUGCUUCGAAAACCGUGUGGUGGAGGUUAUAGAUUGGUGUGCUCACCGUUUCCUGCCCUAAAGGUACUAGAAUUGGAAGACUUGAAGAGCUUCCAGAGAUGGGAUGUUGCUGUUGAAGGAGGACUGAUCUUGUUUACUCAGCUUGAGAAACUGUCAAUUAAGAACUGCCCAAAGCUAAUGGAUUUACCUCGAGCACCAUUGCUUCAAGAACUCGAAUUGAAAUACUUGGUGAGCUUUCAGAGAUGGGAUGCUGUAGUUGAAGAAGAACAAAUAUUGUUUCCACUUCUGGCGAAGCUAUCAAUUCAGAAAUGCCCAAGGCUGAUAGAUUUACCUGAAGCACCAAAACUCAGUUCAUUAGAAAUUGAAGAUGGCAAGCAAGAGAUCUUCCAUUUUGUAGGUAGAUAUUUGUCUUCACUGACCAAACUGAUACUGAAGCUGGAAAAUACAGAAACAACAUCAGAGGUUGAGUGCAUUUCAAUUGUACCGAUGCACAACAAGGAGAAAUGGAACCAGAAAUCCCCACUUACAGUUAUGAAGUUAAGAUGCUGCAACCCAUUCUUUGGAGCAGCUGCACCAGUGCCAUGGUAUUAUUUUGGACAUCUUGAAGCGUUGGCAAUUGAUAGCUGUGAUGUGCUCGUCCACUGGCCAGACAAAGUAUUCCAAAGCUUGGUAGCCUUGAGGAGAUUAUCGAUUAGAAACUGCAAGAAUCUGACUGGAUGCGCACAAGCUCCUCCUGACCCAUCAACAACCGAAAGGAGCCAACACCUUCCUGGUCUGGAGUCUAUUGAGUUAAUUAUUUGUGCAAGUUUGAUAGAUAUGUUCAACGUCCCAGCAUCUCUCAAGGAAAUGCAUAUUUUUGGUUGCCAUGAGCUCAAGUCCAUAUUCGGCAAGCAGCAGGGCAUGUCACGGUUAGUUCAAGGGCUAUCUUGCAGCGAGGUAACCGUGCCCACGGUUGUAUCAGAGUUGUCAUCAUCAUCCAUGAAUCACUUCUUUCCAUGCCUAGAAUAUCUACAGUUAUCUGGAUGUGAUAGUUUAUCAGCGGUUCUAGAUCUUCCACCAGCAUUAAAGACCAUAUCUAUUGGUGGCUGCAGGAAUAUUCAAGUCCUAUCAUGUCAGCUGAAUGGGCUUCAGAAACAACAAGUCACUACUUCCAUAAAUAUACCAGAGCCAGCAGCAGCAAGAGAGCAUUCCCUUCCUCCUUGUCUCGAGUCUCUACACAUAUCCUGUUUGAGUGGCAUGUUUGGGGGGAUUCUCCAUCUGCCGAAUUCCCUCAAGACACUGAAAAUUUCUGGCAGUAGUUUGACAUCAUUGGAGUUUCUGUCGGGAGAGCACCCCACUGCGUUGGAAUCCCUUGUAAUUGAUAGCUGCAGUACCCUGGCAUCCCUACCGAAUGAUGCGCAGGCAUACAGGUCACUUCAACGGCUUGAAAUUACAUGUUGUCCUGCUAUAAAGAAGCUUCCUACAUGCCUGCAACAGCAACUGGGUAGCAUUGGCUUCUACAAACGGCUGGAUGCCCAUUAUGAAGUAACGGCAUUUAAACCAAAGACUUGGAAGGAAAUACCAAGACUAGUCCAUGAGCAGAGGCAGGCUCGUCACAGUUGA
Molecule: ribosomal RNA, 4134 nt
Filed under: Triticum aestivum (bread wheat)
Lineage: Eukaryota; Viridiplantae; Streptophyta; Magnoliopsida; Poales; Poaceae
Description: partial small subunit ribosomal RNA
Source: RNAcentral